GUGUCAGCCGCCGCGGUAAGACGAACCGUGCGAACGUUGUUCGGAUUCACUGGGCUUAAAGGGCGCGUAGGCGGGCCAUCAAGUCUGGGGUGAAAUCUUUCGGCUCAACCGGAAAAGUGCCCCCGAUACUGAUGGUCUUGAGGGAGGUAGGGGCGUGUGGAACUUCCGGUGGAGCGGUGAAAUGCGUAGAUAUCGGAAGGAACGCCGGUGGCGAAAGCGACGCGCUGGACCUCUUCUGACGCUGAGGCGCGAAAGCUAGGGGAGCAAACGGGAUUAGAUACCCCGGUAGUCCUAGCCCUAAACGAUGGGUACUAGGUAGUGGACCAGGCAUGGGUUCCCUGCCGAAGCGAAAGUGUUAAGUACCCCGCCUGGGGAGUAUGGUCGCAAGGCUGAA
This 394-nucleotide ribosomal RNA is filed under the name uncultured bacterium. Its description in RNAcentral is "bacterial SSU rRNA". It matches the Rfam family "Bacterial small subunit ribosomal RNA", at positions 505 to 898 of the family's 1533-position model. The record is from RNAcentral.